CGCACGCUUCCUUUUUCAAUCCUAAUUCGGCUUCUGGAGAACUGAAGCAUUCAUCAAAGUUCAAUCUUACUCUCGUGACCUCAUCUCUCUCACUAGGGCUUUUCCUCGCCUUCUCUCUUCGCUCGUCCGAUCAAACGAUCGUCCUUUGAUCCUUUCCCUUCAUCUGCUACCCUAGUCUCAGAAGCGAAGACAGCGACGCCUUCUGUUCUAGAGAGCUGAAGUCUUCUCGAUCUCUCUUUUCAUACUUCAGCGGAUCAUUGAUCAUUGCCGCUGUCGCCGAGCAAUGGAAAGUGUGAUCAGCAGGAUCGCACCUAACCUCUGUUUUAAAAAUAUCGUCUGAAUUUACCAUUCCGAUGUCUCCGGACCUCUCGAUUUGUUAGGGUUUCUGCACUUUGUCGUCUCCACUCAAAUCUAGGGUUUAUUUAAUAUGUCUCUCUCACUCUGGAAUCUCCUCUCCUCGCUCUCUAUUCUCUCUUUUAACCGACUCAUCCUCCUUUCCUCUCCUCUGCACCUCUAACCUCAGAAGUGCAAGACGGCUUUCAGUUCUGGAGAACUUAGGCUACCUUUGAACUCUCUUUUACAUACUUCAGCGGACCAUCGCGGCUGCCGCCGAGCAAUGGAAACUGUUUUCCGCCGUCUCCAACUUCUGCGUCGAAAAUCUCGUUUCGGAUGUAUCCAGGGACCGCCGAUUUCACUCCCGAGCCAGAGCCUUGCAUAACGGAGCUAUUACGUGUAUCUAAGGCUCUCACCGCUUGAAGCCUGCCAAGGGCUUCGUUUCGUCCACCGUGACAUUGAAAGGAAGUUUGUCGAUGAGGCUAACAAAGUGUCGAUGAAAAUGAAUAUCUGCAUGUUAAGUGACUAGUUGUCUUAGCUUCUUGUGUAGUCUUGACUCUCAAUGAGUGCUGUUAUUGGUCUGACAAGAAACACUUUUUCUUAUUAAUUAUGAUUUAUAUUACAUGCAUUCCAAUGUUUCUACAUGGCUGAUGGCACAAGAUAUUUUGUUGUCCUGUCAAUUGGCAGAAAACGAUUGACGAGUUGAUGGGCUGUGAUUUCAUUAUCAGGAUCAAAAUGUAAAUGUAAAGUAGAAUUAGAUUGAACUAAGGCUGAACAAACUUUUUUGAAGAAAGAAGAAUUUUACUGUCCUGACACUUGAUUAUAUUUUUUCAGUGGGCAGUCAUUGCAUAGCUAGGGCAGUCCUACAGUUCACUAUCCUUGAAUCCUUGCACUUUUUCUUUAAGAAAAUGCAAAGCCAAAUGAAUAUAUAGAAUUGAACAUCCUCCUUGAAACUUACUGAAUUGCCUUUGAUUGAGAUGGCACAAAGUAACGAAUUGCAUAUACUAAAUGGAUCAUUUAUCCCAUGCGCUGAUUUGUGUUGGUUGUACUUAGCCGAGUUUGUAGCUGAAAGCAAGUUAUGAACAACGUUUUAAACAAGAUUGAAUUCCAAUUUAAUUUUUCCCUAAGCCUUUAAUGGUUGUUUUCUGUUUUCAGAUGAGUUACUCUUAUUAGGAGUUUUGAUUUAUGUGAUUAUAUGCAAGCUAAUAACUUAUGUUUCUCCUAUUUUUUGUUUGAUUGAUGAUUCCCCAAAAAAUACCCUAAGAGAAGAACUUGUGUCAGUUCAAGUUUUUCUAUUUUUCAAUUUCUGAAGCCCACAUUUUUAUUUUAUUUUAUGUUUAUCUGUAAGAACUCAUGGAUUCUCAUUAACUAUUUCCCGAGAUCACUUUGGCAUGUUUUAUUGGCUUUUGCUGAUACGCAGUAUUAUUUACAAUGUGGGGGGGAAAAAGUGGUGCAAGAAUGCAAGAUAUUGAUUCUCUUUUAACAAAGCCCCUCAGUUUUGCAGUAACAUUUGCUCCUUCUCUGCACAUACACUUCAAAAACGGUAAAAUUAAUCUCUGGACCGGUAUUUCUUUUAUUAAUUGACUAUGUUUGACCUUUAGGAUGAUAGCACAAUUGCUUUCUUAUUUUCUGACCAUUGCUAUCUUUCAGAAAAUAAGCGUCCUUUUUUUACUUUUUAUUGAUAUUAGAGAAACUUGAUGAGUAAAUCAGUUUAAUGUGGCCCUAUUUUGGCUGCACUGGGAGUAAGUAUAUGAUCUUGUUAAUUCUAAUUCAGUUAUUCAAUAUCUAUCUAACACGCAUAAUCAUUAUACGUUGUUGCAUUUGUAACUAGCUUAUAUUCUGAUGUAUAUACUUUGAUGCAUUGGAAUUUGGACAGUUCAUAAGUAGCUUUUCAAUAUAUCUUGUUCUUGUCGCAUAUUAAAGUGAGGUGCGUUAAUUCUAAUUCAGUUAUUCAAUAUCUAUCUCACACGUAAUCAGUAGACGCUGUUCCAUUUGUGAGUAGCUUAUAUUCUGUUGUAUAUACUUUGUAUUAUUACAUUCAUAUUACUUCUUUUUUUGGAAUGAAUGCAAACUUUUCUUUGUCCAGCUUACUCUAGCUUGUUUGGUCCUCUUAACUUAGGAAUAUUUUUGUCUAUGAUUUCUUAAUCAAUUGGUUUUCGUUAAUUUUACUAUUUUAAUGUUUCUUUCUAGUUACCUAGCUAGUUGUUUUAUAGUUCGUUCUGUUCUUAUUAAUUUAGUAUUUAAAUUAGACUUAGAUUGAACUAAGGUUGAAAGAGUUUUAUUGAAGAAUUUUACUGUCCACUAUCACUUAACUACACUUUCUCAGUGGGCAGUCAUUGCAUAACUAUGAGCAUAUUACAGUUCAAUAUCAUUGAAUCCUUGCACUUUUUAUUUAAGAAAAUGCAAAACCAAAUGAUUAUGUGGAAUUGAACAUCCUCCUUGAAACUUAAUUUCAUUAGAUUGAGAUGGCACAAAGUAAUUGCAUAUACUAAAUGGAUCUUUAUCCCAUGUUUUGAUUUGUGUUCGUUAUAAUUAGCCGAGUUUGUAGCUGAAAGCAAGUUGUGAACAACGUUUUAAACAAUAUUGAAUUUCAAAUUUAAUUUCUCCCUAGGCCUUUAGUGGUUGUUUUCUGUUUUCAGAUGAAUUACUCUUAGGUGUUUUUAUUUAUGUGAUCAUUAUGCAACCUAAUAACUUAUGUUUUCUCCUAUUUUUUGUUUGAUUGAUGAUUCUCCAAAAAAAUACCCUGAAAGAAGUUGUGAUAAUUCAAGUUUUUCUAUUUUCCAGUUUUUGGAGCCCGUGAUUUUUUAAUUUAUGUUUAUCUGUACAAACUUACGGAUUCUCAUUAGCUCUUUCCUGAAAUCACCUUGGCAUUUUUUAUUGCUGACAUGACAUAUUAUUGUAGAAUGCGGGGGAAGAAUGCUAGAUAUUGAUAUUCUUAAUUUCUUUCUAA
This is a long non-coding RNA of Tripterygium wilfordii, 3283 nucleotides long. RefSeq lists it as uncharacterized. The record is from RefSeq and is a predicted model, not a curated record. NCBI's taxonomy places the organism in Eukaryota, Viridiplantae, Streptophyta, Magnoliopsida, Celastrales, Celastraceae. The transcript is spliced from 2 exons.